RNAcentral lists this long non-coding RNA (223 nucleotides) under Lathyrus oleraceus (garden pea). RNAcentral describes it as "Pisum sativum (pea) long non-coding RNA (PSAT_LNC013671)". The record is from RNAcentral. Lineage: Eukaryota; Viridiplantae; Streptophyta; Magnoliopsida; Fabales; Fabaceae.
ACAUACAUUCACCCUUACAUUCAACCAUGGAAAGAAUAAAAAAUAUAAACAACCAAAAAAUAUGCAAACCACACUUCAUAUCUCAUUCUUCAAACAAAAAAAAUUUAAAACACUAUUAUUUCUCCACCGCAAAACCGAGCUACAAGCUUCACUCAAUAUCACCUUCGUCGUUCCAGAUCCAAACACCGCCACUGCCACAACGUCUGACCAUCUUUGUACAAAC